This is a long non-coding RNA of Oncorhynchus keta (chum salmon), 3366 nucleotides long. RefSeq lists it as uncharacterized. The transcript is spliced from 4 exons. NCBI's taxonomy places the organism in Eukaryota, Metazoa, Chordata, Actinopteri, Salmoniformes, Salmonidae. The record is from RefSeq and is a predicted model, not a curated record.
CCCCCCACCAAGUAAAGGGAAGAAAGAGAAGGAGAAAGAGAACAGGAUUGUUCUGCUUAUUCAGGAGAAUUAAGAAGAAACCAGAAAAGUGUCUCUCAGUGAGUGCCCCUUUCUCACGUGGUCUGAAAAACCAGCGGGUGGCCAGCAUCAGCAUGAACUCCCUGGGUAUCCACUCCUCCAACACCCUGCCCAUGGACAACACCAUGGCCCCCAUGGCAGGCUCCCAAAGCGCCCCUGCUGACCUCAACGUCCAGCCGUUGACCUCUAGGAAGAAGAGGAGAGCCCCCCCCGCCUCCUCCCUGUGCCCCCACACCAUCAUCCUCCUGUGUUAACACCCACAACGGAUCACCCCUGAGAUCAAAGGGAAUGGACAGUCACUUCACACACUGAAGGAGGAGAUGGGAGAGUGUGAGGGGGACCUGGACUCCCCAUCCUCAUCCCCAAACAUCUCCAGGCCUUUGAGUCAGCCUCGGGUGUCCCCCACUCCCCCUUCUACCCCCUCCACUACCUCUAGCACCUUUCCACCCUCCAAUCCCUACCAUCCCUCCCUCCCCUGCCACCCUAGGGGAGAUACUAACCCCUUUCCUGCUUUGUCAAACCCGGGCCAACCUCAAGCAUCCUUCGUUCCCAACCCCAAGACCCGUCAACUCCACCGAUGGAGGCUCACCUGGGUCCUUGACAAGGUCGGGUGGAAGUAAGGGACUCAGUCCCCUCUCUUUACUCAAACUCAAGACCAAGGACCCUGGUGAAGCUUGGAGGAGUCCCAGUCUGAGGGAGGGGAUGACCACAUUUACCGUGGUGCCCCUAGGGCAGUCCCUGAAGGAGCAGAGAGGCUUGGAGGUGGACCUGACCCUGGCGAAGACCCAGGCCUUAGACCCAGCACAAACCAUUGAUGAACCCUCCAAUGGUGUUGCUGAACCUGGGUUGGAGCACCACCAGACAAGGAAGAAGACACUGGUAUCACUGGAGAGGUCAGAGGUUGAGGGAUCUACCCCAGAGCCUGAUAUGGAUUCUAAACUUUCUCCUCCAGGGUUUCCAGAAGGUUCUACUGACUGGGUCUUCAGUCCUCCAACCGUGUCUAGUCCUAUCGAGCUUUAACAGACCGCAUCAAAUUCACCAGUGGUAGUUAGGAGAAUUCCGAGAUGGAGGCCCAGGAGGAGUCCGAAUCACCCACAGACAGUCUAGAUUCAGAACUACAGAAAAGUCUAGAGGUAGAAGUCUCAGAGGAGUCGGAUACACUCUCAGAUACCCAACCCAUACACAGCUUUGUCCCACACCAAUGGAAUACCUGGAGAUGAGGUGACCUCAACUCCUGAACUACUGGAGAGCAGGGGAUUGUUCUGGAAGCCCAGUCUGGUGAUAGAGGAGGCAGAAGUGGACCGAGACGGAGCCGGCCCAGUUACGAGUGAGGCCUCCUGGGGGAACAAAUCACCGCCCUUCCUCUUAUCCUCCCCCUUCUCUUCAUACGAUGAGUCAUACCUUCUGUGAAUCAGCAGAGGGAGACAAUCAGACUGAUGCCUCUUCUUCACCCAAACCGAACAUGAUUCAUUUGACUUCACCCAAACCUACGUGCCUGCAGCCCUGGACAGGAAAACUGCCAUUUCCUCCUGCUUUACCCAGGCUGUGGCUCUAGCCACCCAUAAGUCCCAGUCCUCCUGUCCUCGAAGGCCAGCACCAGACUUGCUUCCCUCCCUCUCCGGAUCCUCGCCCUCCACUGCUUUACUGCUAACCAAUGCGGUGAGUGAUGAUUUUGACCUGCACUGACACAGUGAUGACAUGCCCAUUUUGCCAUUGUAGCAACUGGAUUGGACCCAAAACUGAACCAUUGUUUACCCCUAUCAUACUACAAUGUGCUUCCUUCUAUACAUAAAGUUGCCAUUCUUAACUUUCAUGAUCUCUCUGUGAACCUCACAUGUUCCACAGGUGAACUCUUUACACCAGUGGAGGCUGGUGGGAGGAGCCAUAGGAGGACGGGCUCAUUGGAAUGGCUGGAAUGGAAUAAAUGGAACGGAGUGAAACAGGGUUUCUAUGUGUUGGAUACCCUUCCAUUCCAGACAUUCCAAUGAGCCUGCCCUCAUACAGCUCACCCCACCAGCCUCCACUGCAUUACACAGGAAAGAAGGGAAGGGCAUAUCUUUACGGAAGUGUGUACAUUCUACAGUGUGAUUGUAAUUUUUUCUCUCUGGAAAGACGCCAUUUGUUACAUUAAAUGGCGACAUAUGCCUUUCUAAACAAUCCUGGCAGGCUGGUAUUCUUCUGAGACACCUUAGUGUUUGUCUGUUAUCUUCAUGUGUAUGUGCAAAAGGUGGUGUAUGGCUCUGUAGAAUACCUCUAUGGACAUGCUCACACUCUGUGUGACCUGGUGGAGGAAGGACCUAAUCUAAACGGGUGAUAUUCGUGUCUCUUGUCCUACAGGGGCCAUAAUGGCUUCAUAGUAAAUCUGUGAAAUGGAAGUUUCUGUUUAGGGUGAGGCAACUGCAGUGAAGUAGAGCCGGCCACCACAUAGUCACAUGACCUCCAAACGGACCCCACUUAGAGGUCGACUGACAAAUCCCAAAGAAGCCCAGGCCCCUGUUUUGCACUGGGAGUCAGCGCGUUAUAAAAACAACAUUUAUCCAAGACUUCAUCCAAGAGUUGGAUUAGUGUACAGGUCAUUUUAUGUUCACUGAAUGUUUGUUUUUGUAUCAUGCUACCUGAAUUAAUUGGAGGCAGUGCUGCCUUUUCGUUAUGUUAUUAAGAUAUUUGACUUUUAUGCGAAGAUGUAUUUAUUUGACCUUGGUAGUACAGUAUUUAUGGGCUCUACAUUUUUGUACUUGGAGUUUCCUGCUGACUCGUUAGUGUUGAAAUGUGCCAAAACCGAGAUUAAAUCAUACGUAAUCUCUCCUCACCAACUCUGAAAUAAGACGACUUAAAAUGUUACAUUUCAUUCUGUACAUAUCACACCUUUCUGAGUGAAUUGUUCUAUAUAUUUUCCCCCCAGACAUUAUAAGUAAAUGAUAUGCCUUAAUCAACUAGUGUGUUGCUUUCUUUUGCCACUGGAGGGCAGGAGCACACCUCACAAAUAUCUCAUGCACAGAACCACUGAGUGAGCUGUUUUGUGAUCCACACUUGAUCAAUUAUUAGCAUUGACAUAUCCAGAUACUAAAGAAGAGCAUCAAUUAUCGUUCAUCUUCUUUGUCUUUACUGGUUAUACUUUUUUUUAAAUGCAUUAGUGUGUUUUUAUUUCAAGCCUUGUUAUCUUUUCAAUUAUUAAGCAAUGGUUGGUAUUUGACAAGGAUAUUCUACAGGGUGCCAUGUUUAGAACAUUGCAGGAAGAUAUGUAAUAUGAAAUGGACAUGAUGUGAAAUAAAUCAUGUUCUUGCUAUG